ACAUAGUUUAUUUUAUGAUCAAAGCAUUUCAAAAUUGCCAAUUUUCAAUGGCUACUAUAACGAGUUUGGAGCUUAACGGUGUAGAAGAAUCUAAAUUUCUUCAAAUUUUGAUAGAAAAUACUUUAAACUAUCUAGAUUAAGGUUAACAUUCUUAAUCUUGAAUUUAAAAGUCCUAUACUAAAAUUUUAAAGAUUAUUCAAUUUUCACCGUUCAUUUUGACAUAAUUUAUUUACUAAGUAAACGAUAUCCAAAAAAACUAAAAUUUUAUUCCUAAGAAUUUUAUAUACCCUAAAUCAUAUUUAAGGUGUAGAUCGUUAAUUUGAAUACCCUAAGAUCGAAAACAAGACUAUAGUACCGGAGCUCCGGUACUAUAGAUAGUAUAGUAGCCUAAUUCUAUAUAUAUAUAUAUAUAGAGCUAGGCUGGUAUACUAUCGGUAGCACGGAAGCCUCCGUGCUACCAAGUUGUUUUCAAUUAUGCGGCUUCUAAAUCGAUGAUCGGCUCCAUUAGACUUGAUCUACACUAUAAAAAGUAUUUGGAAACUAAAUUUCACAAUUUUUCGGCAUCAUUUACCUAUCAAACGAGUAGUCUAAAAAUGAACGGCUGAAAAUGAAAAUCUCAUAAAAAACAGUGAUAAAGAAUUCAAAUUUCAAAUCGGAAGUAUUUGUCUUGCUAUUGAUGUUAAGUAGAAUUUUCUAUUAAAUUUUCAUCUAAUUUGAAUACUUCUACACCGUUGAACUUAAAAACGUGCCACAUCGGCCGUUAAAAUAGUCAUUUUUGAGACAUUUUGAUCGCUUGGUAAAUGAUGUCAAAAAAUUAAGUUAAAUUUAGUUUUCAAAUACUUUUAAUAGUGUAGAUCAGGUCUAACGGAGCUGAUCGUCGAUUUGAAAACUGCAUCAUUGAAAAAAAACUUGGUAGCACGGAGGCCUCCGUGCUACCGAUAGUAUACCAGCUUAGCUCUCUCUCUCUCUCUCUCUCUCUCUCUCUCUAUAUAUAUAUAUAUAUAUAUAUAGUCCGGGCUAUGCUAUCGAUAGCACCAAGCACUUGGUGCUAUCAAGUUUUUUGCCGUUAAAUUAAUCUCUUUGAUUAUUUUUACCCGUUAGAUUAUAUUAUUCAACCAACCACCCACUCAACCCUAUGGAGUCCAUAUUAUCCUAAUCUUAUAUUUCUCAAUCCAAUGAUUAAAAAAUUAAUAGCACAAAUACUUUGAAGCUAUUGAUAGUAUAGUAGCCUAAUUAUAUAUAUAUA
This 1246-nucleotide long non-coding RNA is filed under the name Ananas comosus (pineapple). RNAcentral describes it as "long non-coding RNA (ACOM_LNC010598)". Lineage: Eukaryota; Viridiplantae; Streptophyta; Magnoliopsida; Poales; Bromeliaceae. The record is from RNAcentral.